AUACCUCACUCUUGAGUCUUUUAUUGGAUUUCAAGAUGUGGACUUUGGAGGUUUUUGCAGGCUAUCACUAGUCAGCUCCUCUUAAAUGUAUUAGCGGAACUCUAUGCAGUACCGGCUUCAGUUUGAUAAUCCUAUCUAUGCUGUCGCUGUGAACUGUGCUGUUUAGCUUAUAAUUGUCUUCGGACUGCCAUUUUGGCAUACUUUAA
Molecule: unclassified non-coding RNA, 206 nt
Filed under: uncultured Clavariaceae
Lineage: Eukaryota; Fungi; Basidiomycota; Agaricomycetes; Agaricales; Clavariaceae
Description: sequence contains ITS2
Source: RNAcentral